Molecule: non-coding RNA, 75 nt
Organism: Parelaphostrongylus tenuis
Lineage: Eukaryota; Metazoa; Nematoda; Chromadorea; Rhabditida; Metastrongylidae
Source: the annotation of a GenBank genome assembly
GCGUCAGUAGUGCAACAGGUUAGAGCACGCGUUUCUGAUUAGAGUGAGAUGUGGGUUCGAGUCCCGCCUGGUGCA